UUUAAAAUUAUAAAGAUUUUUCUUUAAAUAACAAAAAUCAUAUUAUCUAACAAUGGCUAAUUUUUACUACUUUAAACUAAUGAAAACAAAUUUUAAACUAUAUAGUUUAUUUUAAAAAUUAAAUGUUUAAUUAUUUACUUUAUAAUAUAAAUCUAUGAAGCGGAAAGUUUAAUUUUUAAAAAACUUUCUAAAUUUGUGAAAUGUUAAAUGAAAACGAAAACAUGCGCGGUUACGCGGAUCUCGAGAUCUAGUUAUGUAUUAAAUUGUUAUAUAUACUUUUAUAGUUUCAUUAACGUAUUUUUAGUUCAAAAAAAAAAAAAAAAAAAAAAAAAAAACGUAUUUGAAAACAAGAAAAGAACUCAUUAAAUCACUGACGCCGAGGAAUUGUAACAUUUUUUAACCACUAGGUAAAGUGGAAUCUCGGUCGGAUCCUGACUGUUGAUUUGGCGCCACGUUAAUAGUUCGUUAGCCUUCGCGCCUUUGACUCUUCCUUGCGAGUUGCGACCCUUUUCAUGUAGCUUUUUUCCCUUUUUAUUAACUCUUUCUAUUUGCUUUAAACCUUUUUUGUUUCUU
Molecule: long non-coding RNA, 573 nt
Filed under: Brassica rapa (field mustard)
Lineage: Eukaryota; Viridiplantae; Streptophyta; Magnoliopsida; Brassicales; Brassicaceae
Description: long non-coding RNA (BRAP_LNC002364)
Source: RNAcentral